This 301-nucleotide ribosomal RNA is filed under the name uncultured bacterium. RNAcentral's name for it is "partial 16S ribosomal RNA". It matches the Rfam family "Bacterial small subunit ribosomal RNA", at positions 509 to 807 of the family's 1533-position model. The record is from RNAcentral.
CAGUAGCCACGGGAAGACGAACCGUGCGAACGUUAUUCGGAAUCACUGGGCUUAAAGCGCGUGUAGGCGGGCCGCCACGUCGGCUGCUGAAAUCCCCCGGCUCAACCGGGGAACGGGCACCGAUACGAGCGGCCUCGAGGGGGGUAGGGGGGUCUGGAACUUCCGGUGGAGCGGUGAAAUGCGUUGAGAUCGGAAGGAACGCCCGUGGCGAAAGCGAGGCCCUGGACCCUUUCUGACGCUGAGACGCGAAAGCCAGGGGAGCGAACGGGAUUAGAGACCCGCGUAGUCCCUGUCUCUUAUU